CGGGACGGGUGAGUAAUGUCUGGGAAACUGCCUGAUGGAGGGGGGUAACUACUGGAAACGGUAGCUAAUACCGCAUAACGUCGCAAGACCAAAGAGGGGGACCUUCGGGCCUCUUGCCAUCGGAUGUGCCCAGAUGGGAUUAGCUAUAGGUGGGGUAACGGCUCACCUAGGCGACGAUCCCUAGCUGGUCUGAGAGGAUGACCAGCCACACUGGAACUGAGACACGGUCCAG
RNAcentral lists this ribosomal RNA (232 nucleotides) under uncultured bacterium. Its description in RNAcentral is "partial 16S ribosomal RNA". It matches the Rfam family "Bacterial small subunit ribosomal RNA", at positions 100 to 334 of the family's 1533-position model. The record is from RNAcentral.